UUUCCGUAGGUGAACCUGCGGAAGGAUCAUUAUUGUAUAGCCGAGGUGCGAGGGCUGUCGCUGACCCGAAAGGUCGUGCACGCCCGAGUGCCCUCACACACAUCCACCUCACCCCUAUGUGCACCACCGCGUGGGUCCCCCUUUGGCUUGUUCGGAGGGGGGCUUACGUUUUCACACAAACUUUGUAUGCAGUGUAGAAUGUAUUUUUUGUUUUUGCGAUCACGCAAUCAAUACAACUUUCAACAACGGAUCUCUUGGCUCUC
This 263-nucleotide unclassified non-coding RNA is filed under the name plant metagenome. Its description in RNAcentral is "partial contains small subunit ribosomal RNA, internal transcribed spacer 1, and 5.8S ribosomal RNA". The record is from RNAcentral.